CAUGGACUGUGUCUCACCCAUGGCUAUUUGCAGCCCCUAAGGAGAGCCUGCUUUCUCCACCACACCCUAUCCUUGCCCAGGUACAUGAGAAGCUGGGGUCAGAGCUGCCAGGCCUGGAGCCAGCCCUGCAGGUGGACCUGGUGUGGGCCCUGUGUGUGCUGCAGCAGGCACGGGAAGCAGAGCUGCAAGCCGUCCUCCACCCUGAAUUUCACAUCCAAUUUCUAGGGGGCAAGUCUCAGAAGGAUCAGAACACCUUCCAGAAGCUGCUCCACAUCAACGCCACUGCCCUGCUGGAGCACCCCGAGUACUCAGGUCCCCUUCUGCCUGCCUCGGCUGUGGCCCCUGGGCCCUCAGCCCUUGACAGGAAGGUGACCCCCCUGCAAAAGGAGCUGCAGGAGACACUGAAGGGGCUGCUGGGGAGCGCCGACAGGGGCAGCCUCGAGGUGGCCACGCAGUAUGGCUGGGUGCUGGAUGCUGAGGUGCUGC
Molecule: small RNA, 486 nt
Filed under: Pongo abelii (Sumatran orangutan)
Lineage: Eukaryota; Metazoa; Chordata; Mammalia; Primates; Hominidae
Description: retained intron
Source: RNAcentral